RNAcentral lists this transfer RNA (72 nucleotides) under Ovis aries (sheep). It matches the Rfam family "tRNA". Rfam says of the family: Transfer RNA (tRNA) molecules are approximately 80 nucleotides in length. Their secondary structure includes four short double-helical elements and three loops (D, anti-codon, and T loops). The record is from Rfam by way of RNAcentral. Lineage: Eukaryota; Metazoa; Chordata; Mammalia; Artiodactyla; Bovidae.
UCCCUCAUAGCUCAGUCAGUAAAGAAUCUGCCUGCCAUGCAGGAGACACAGGUUCAAUUCCUGGGUUGGGAA